This is a long non-coding RNA of Mastomys coucha (southern multimammate mouse), 875 nucleotides long. RefSeq lists it as uncharacterized. Lineage: Eukaryota; Metazoa; Chordata; Mammalia; Rodentia; Muridae. The transcript is spliced from 2 exons. The record is from RefSeq and is a predicted model, not a curated record.
GCCCGGGCGGGCCGAGGCGGGGCUGGGGCGGGGCCGCGCGCGCGCGCUCCGGGGCUGCGCGGGGCUGGGGCGGGCGCGAAGGGUACGGGCCGGGGGCUUAGGAGGACUGGCCGCUUGCGCGGGCCGGGCCGAGCGCGCUAGGAAGGCCGGGCCGGACCGGGCUCAGAAUCCGCCGCCGCCGCCGCCGCUCCUCAGACGUCACAUGAUGUUUGGUCACGUGGGUUCCAUUCAUGAAGCGGCGACGCGGCUGGCCUAAGCUUAAAGGGAAAGGCGAGGCGGCAGCAAGGCGAGCGCGCCCCCAUCACGCCUGCGCACCCCCGCGCCGUCGCCCCUGGCAACGCCCGCCGCGCCCUGGCAACGUCUCGCGGGAGUAGUCCCCGCGCUCGCCGGGCUGGGCAGGCUCCUGCCGAGUCAGUUUCUCGGGGCUGGUGUCUGUUUCGGGUCCCCAACUCGGGUGCAUCUGGCUCCCUCCAGAUCUCCAACUCAGACUGAGGUCUUUGGAACAGAACCUGAAUGUGAUACAGUGGUUUAACUCCUUACCCCGUGCUGCUGCGGUGUCCUCAUUCUAAAUGGGUCUACGGGCUGAAAAGGACGCCACUGCCGAGGGGUACAGCCCCGACCCCAGCUCAGAUCCCCAAAAUAUCCAAGAUGACACGAGGGCUUGGAGGACGCUCACUGGUGACUAAUCUCGAGAGGGUGCUAGGGGCUCACCUGCAGCCGUGGACCAUCUCUUUGGAUAGUGUGCAUACCCUGGAAGAGUUGUGUACUUUUCCCAACCCUUUUCUGCCGCAUUUAAAACUACUUUGGGUGCAUUAUGCUGCUAUUUUUUCUGUAAGAAGACUUCCCGCUGCUGUUGAAAAAGUAAAAGAAGGAAA